GAUGAACGCUAGCGGCAGGCCUAAUACAUGCAAGUCGAGGGGGCAGCGCGGUAGCAAUACUGGCGGCGACCGGCGCACGGGUGCGUAACACGUAUGCAACCUACCUUCAACUGGAGGAUAGCCCGGGGAAACUCGGAUUAAUACUCCAUAACACAGGGAUCCCGCAUGGGAAUAUUGUUAAAGCUACGGCGGUUGAAGAUGGGCAUGCGUUCGAUUAGCUAGUUGGUGUAGGUAACGGCUCACCAAGGCUACGAUCGAUAGGGGGUCUGAGAGGAUGAUCCCCCAACUGGUACUGAGAUACGGACCAGACUCCUACGGGAGCAGCAGUAGGGAAUA
RNAcentral lists this ribosomal RNA (336 nucleotides) under uncultured bacterium. Its description in RNAcentral is "bacterial SSU rRNA". It matches the Rfam family "Bacterial small subunit ribosomal RNA", at positions 28 to 363 of the family's 1533-position model. The record is from RNAcentral.